This 422-nucleotide ribosomal RNA is filed under the name uncultured bacterium. RNAcentral describes it as "bacterial SSU rRNA". It matches the Rfam family "Bacterial small subunit ribosomal RNA", at positions 29 to 496 of the family's 1533-position model. The record is from RNAcentral.
AACGAACGCUGGCGGCAGGCUUAACACAUGCAAGUCGAACGCAUCCUUCGGGGUGAGUGGCAGACGGGUGAGUAACACGUGGGAACGUACCUUUCGGUUCGGGAUAACCCAGGGAAACUUGGGCUAAUACCGGAUACGUCCUUUGGGAGAAAGAUUUAUUGCCGAGAGAUCGGCCCGCGUCUGAUUAGCUAGUUGGUGAGGUAACGGCUCACCAAGGCGACGAUCAGUAGCUGGUCUGAGAGGAUGAUCAGCCACACUGGGACUGAGACACGGCCCAGACUCCUACGGGAGGCAGCGGUGGGGAAUAUUGGACAAUGGGCGGCAAGCCUGAUCCAGCCAUGCCGCGUGAGUGAUGAAGGCCCUAGGGUUGUAAAGCUCUUUCGGCGGGACGAUAAUGACGGUACCCGCAGAAGAAGCCCCGG